UACGGAGGAUGCAAGCGUUAUCCGGAUUCACUGGGUUUAAAGGGUGCGCAGGCAGGCGAAUAAGUCAGGGGUGAAAUCCUACAGCUUAACUGUAGAACUGCCUUUGAUACUGUAUAGCUGGAAUAUGGUUGCUGUGGGUGGAAUGUGUUAUGUAGCGGUGAAAUGCUUAGAUAUAACACAGAACACCGAUCGCGAAGGCAGCUCACUAAACUUUAACUGACGCUCAUGCACGAAAGCGUGGGGAUCAAACAGG
Molecule: ribosomal RNA, 253 nt
Filed under: uncultured bacterium
Lineage: Bacteria
Description: partial 16S ribosomal RNA
Rfam family: Bacterial small subunit ribosomal RNA
Source: RNAcentral